UUCUCCGAUGCAGGUGGAUUUUUGCACCAAUAGGAUUGGCGCUAGAGGAAGGGGUCUGUGUCUUCACGGUACUCUUGUUCUUAAAUGAGCGCUCAACGGGACUGUCCCCGGGCAUCUUUUUCGGCGUCCUCUCCUCUUUCCCCCACUUGGUCUUUGCUCGAUGCCUCCCCGCAAGGCAUCCAUGCGACGAUCCACAACCUCUGCGGCC
Molecule: long non-coding RNA, 208 nt
Filed under: Elaeis guineensis (African oil palm)
Lineage: Eukaryota; Viridiplantae; Streptophyta; Magnoliopsida; Arecales; Arecaceae
Description: long non-coding RNA (EGUI_LNC063914)
Source: RNAcentral